Molecule: non-coding RNA, 72 nt
Organism: Phrynosoma platyrhinos (Desert horned lizard)
Lineage: Eukaryota; Metazoa; Chordata; Lepidosauria; Squamata; Phrynosomatidae
Source: the annotation of a GenBank genome assembly
GACAGUAUAGCGUAGUGGCUUGAGCAGUGGACUACAACUCUGGAGACCAGGGUUUGAAUCCCCAUUCAGGCA